This 719-nucleotide ribosomal RNA is filed under the name Microbacterium profundi. RNAcentral describes it as "bacterial SSU rRNA". It matches the Rfam family "Bacterial small subunit ribosomal RNA", at positions 56 to 787 of the family's 1533-position model. Lineage: Bacteria; Bacillati; Actinomycetota; Actinomycetes; Micrococcales; Microbacteriaceae. The record is from RNAcentral.
UGCAAGUCGAACGGUGAAGCCCAGCUUGCUGGGUGGAUCAGUGGCGAACGGGUGAGUAACACGUGAGCAACCUGCCCCUGACUCUGGGAUAAGCGCUGGAAACGGCGUCUAAUACUGGAUACGAGACGUGACCGCAUGGUCAACGUUUGGAAAGAUUUUUCGGUUGGGGAUGGGCUCGCGGCCUAUCAGCUUGUUGGUGAGGUAAUGGCUCACCAAGGCGUCGACGGGUAGCCGGCCUGAGAGGGUGACCGGCCACACUGGGACUGAGACACGGCCCAGACUCCUACGGGAGGCAGCAGUGGGGAAUAUUGCACAAUGGGCGGAAGCCUGAUGCAGCAACGCCGCGUGAGGGAUGACGGCCUUCGGGUUGUAAACCUCUUUUAGCAGGGAAGAAGCGAAAGUGACGGUACCUGCAGAAAAAGCGCCGGCUAACUACGUGCCAGCAGCCGCGGUAAUACGUAGGGCGCAAGCGUUAUCCGGAAUUAUUGGGCGUAAAGAGCUCGUAGGCGGUUUGUCGCGUCUGCUGUGAAAUCUGGGGGCUCAACCCCCAGCCUGCAGUGGGUACGGGCAGACUAGAGUGCGGUAGGGGAGAUUGGAAUUCCUGGUGUAGCGGUGGAAUGCGCAGAUAUCAGGAGGAACACCGAUGGCGAAGGCAGAUCUCUGGGCCGUAACUGACGCUGAGGAGCGAAAGGGUGGGGAGCAAACAGGCUUAGAUACCC